Molecule: microRNA precursor, 81 nt
Filed under: Bombyx mori (domestic silkworm)
Lineage: Eukaryota; Metazoa; Arthropoda; Insecta; Lepidoptera; Bombycidae
Description: mir-2807 microRNA precursor family
Rfam family: mir-2807 microRNA precursor family
Source: Rfam by way of RNAcentral
UUAACUCAAAUUUAUAUGGAGUUAGAAUGUUUGCCUACGUUUGCCGCUAGGGGCGCUGUUCCUGCAUACAAAUUUAACUUU